This 254-nucleotide ribosomal RNA is filed under the name uncultured bacterium. Its description in RNAcentral is "partial 16S ribosomal RNA". It matches the Rfam family "Bacterial small subunit ribosomal RNA", at positions 524 to 776 of the family's 1533-position model. The record is from RNAcentral.
UACGGGGGGAGCAAGCGUUGUUCGGAUUUACUGGGCGUAAAGGGCGCGUAGGCGGCCAGCACAAGUCAGUUGUGAAAUCUCCGAGCUUAACUCGGAAAGGUCAACUGAUACUGUGCGGCUAGAGUGCGGAAGGGGCAACUGGAAUUCUUGGUGUAGCGGUGAAAUGCGUAGAUAUCAAGAGGAACACCUGCGGCGAAGGCGGCUACCUGGACCGGUAUUGACGCUAAGGCGCGAAAGCGUGGGGAGCAAACAGG